Dermacentor albipictus is the source of this 1627-nucleotide RNA transcript. RefSeq lists it as uncharacterized. The record is from RefSeq and is a predicted model, not a curated record. NCBI's taxonomy places the organism in Eukaryota, Metazoa, Arthropoda, Arachnida, Ixodida, Ixodidae.
AAACUCCGACGCGGCUAAAGGAUGUGGACGCCGCUGCGAGUCACUGCGUCUUUCGAGGUCGCCGCUUUCGGCGAAGAGCGAAGCACUUCUCGAACGAGAGAGCAGCAGCGGGAGAAGCGUGAUCAACCGGCCGUGUCUUCCUCGUCGCCGAGUGCCAUUGUCGUUCCGGUCGAGUAAAAUUGCUUAUCUGACGCCCGGCGAAGGCCGCAAAUGAGGAAAGCCGGACGCCGACGGGGGAGACUGCACGGACGAAAAAAAUCCUGACCGACUGCGCUGCGGGAAGCCAGCGGCCCGUCGUCGUUGUUCACCUCGUGCCGAAAGAACGCCCGCGUCUCGGCGAAGGAACGGCGCAUCAAAACUCGCACGGCGCUACGUUUUUUUUUCCCCCGGCUUAUUUCUCGGCUUUCGAAGACCCUGACGCAAAGAACCAGAUCCAGUCUGCACACCGUACAGUGCUGCAAGACUGGAGGCUUCAAGGCAAGGCUGUCCGAAGUCUGGCCAACCAUCCCGCAAGGCUGAUCCCAAAGUGACUAUGGCACUUCGAGCAAGGACGACUAGGGGCUCGGCACGGAUAGACGAGCCGGGCAGCAGCGGCAACCACGUGAGUGGGCUGACCGAAGAGCGGCCGCGCAGGAGCCUCUCCUUGGCCGUCAAGGUGGCUAUCGUUAUUGCCGUGAUCGCCAUCAACCUGCUCAUCUACGCCAACCUGGAGUAUUUCAAGUCGGACAUACCUUUCAAGGACGACCAAUGAACUCUUCCUUCUCGUCACCGCUCUUUCGGUCACUGCUGUUGAGGACUCUGUGACGAAUCGUUUGAAAGCGAACGCUGUAGAGGCCUGCAGCAUGUUCACACAGGCGUGGCCACAGCAUCAAAUGACAUACCAAUAUGUCAUUUGAUGCAACUGAAUUUCAUGCAGUUUCAUGCAAGUUUUAUGCAACUGAAUUUCAAUGACGCUAGAGUACAAGUAAUGAUGCUCACUGUCCGUUAUUGACGUAAAGGUCAUGAACCUUCAGCCUGUGCAAAAAGCAAAAUAUUUAGUCGCUUGGACCAUAAAAAUGACAUAGUAUUAGUUCGCCGCAUAAGUAAUGCAACCUGUUCGCCAUUUAUGACAAAUAUCACUUCAGGCAGGAAAGCUGUCGUGCAAACUGUGGCACAGCAAUGACAUACGCAGUUACAUAUUAAAAAGUGCGUAGACUGUACAAGAAUUUACACCCUUAAAGGUGAAAAAGGAUGUAAAUGUGCCUAUAACUCCCACCCUAAGGGUAUCAGUUAUAUAAUCAUACCAUAACUGUGUCAGUUGUAGACACAUCUGUACCCUUUUUCACUUUCAAGGGUUUAAGUUAUUUUACAGUGUAAUGUUUUCGCGGCCACAACAUUCGAAACCUGUUACUCUAUGAAAUAGCGGGACAGCUUCAUUUCUGUUCGCCCUAGGGAAUUAUUCAGGCAACACGUCCUUUGCUGUGGAAGCGCAUGUCUGAUAUCUCUUUCUUUUUUGCUUCUUUUUGCUAUUACGACAAAGACUUGCCCUUAAGGCAUAAUUCUUGAUGUCUAUGCGUGUAUUAUAUGCUCCCGAUAUUGGAAUUGGUAGCAUGGAAUAUGAAAAUAAAGAGAACAUUCCAUCUUCUCA